This 544-nucleotide ribosomal RNA is filed under the name uncultured bacterium. Its description in RNAcentral is "bacterial SSU rRNA". It matches the Rfam family "Bacterial small subunit ribosomal RNA", at positions 775 to 1319 of the family's 1533-position model. The record is from RNAcentral.
AAAUAAGAUACCCCGGUAGUCCACGCCGUAAAACGAUGAGUGCUAAGUGUUAGAGGGUUUCCGCCCUUUAGUGCUGAAGUUAACGCAUUAAGCACUCCGCCUGGGGAGUACGGCCGCAAGGCUGAAACUCAAAGGAAUUGACGGGGGCCCGCACAAGCGGUGGAGCAUGUGGUUUAAUUCGAAGCAACGCGAAGAACCUUACCAGGUCUUGACAUCCUCUGACAACCCUAGAGAUAGGGCUUCUCCUUCGGGAGCAGAGUGACAGGUGGUGCAUGGUUGUCGUCAGCUCGUGUCGUGAGAUGUUGGGUUAAGUCCCGCAACGAGCGCAACCCUUGAUCUUAGUUGCCAUCAUUCAGUUGGGCACUCUAAGGUGACUGCCGGUGACAAACCGGAGGAAGGUGGGGAUGACGUCAAAUCAUCAUGCCCCUUAUGGACCUGGGCUACACACGUGCUACAAUGGAACGGUACAAAGAGCUGCAAGACCGCGAGGUGGAGCUAAUCUCAUAAAAACCCGUUCUCGAGUUCGGAUUGGUACGGCUGUACC